Non-coding RNA from Citreicella sp. SE45, 1817 nucleotides. Lineage: Bacteria; Pseudomonadati; Pseudomonadota; Alphaproteobacteria; Rhodobacterales; Roseobacteraceae. The record is from Rfam.
AAUCAAGCGCGAGAAGGGCGUUUGGUGGAUGCCUUGGCAGUAAGAGGCGAUGAAGGACGUGAUACUCUGCGAUAAGUCCUGGGGAGCUGAGAAUAAGCUUUGAUCCAGGAAUUUCCGAAUGGGGCAACCCACCUGAAAGUUCAUUAUAAUUACUUCGGUAGUUUAUAAUGUUCUUAAACAGGUACUUUAAACCUGAAUACAUAGGGUUUUAAGAGCAAACCCGGGGAACUGAAACAUCUAAGUACCCGGAGGAAAGGACAUCAAUAGAGACUCCCCUAGUAGCGGCGAGCGAACGGGGACCAGCCGAACUCUGAGAGUGACUGGAAUGGUCUGGAAAGGCCAACCAUAGCGGGUGACAGUCCCGUACAGGAAGCUCGACGAGACGUAUCAAGUAGGGCGGGACACGUGAAAUCCUGUCUGAAGAUCGGAGGACCACCUCCGAAGGCUAAGUACUCCUUACUGACCGAUAGCGAACCAGUACCGUGAGGGAAAGGUGAAAAGCACCCCGACGAGGGGAGUGAAACAGUACCUGAAACCGAACGCCUACAAUCAGUCGGAGCUUGACUGGACUCUAAUGACAAUCUGCGCCAUGCAGUCACCAGAACAAACUGGAGACAAUCAUGGCAGACGGAACCUUCGCAGUGCUCAUGCUGAUUGCUGGGCUCUCCGAUAUGGGGAUGAACCAUUGCGGUACCGACAACGGGUGCUUCGGCAUCUCGGACACCGGAUCGCGCGUCGGCUUUUCGGCCGGCACAGUGGUUGAACGCCGCGCCGACGACGGAUCGGAGAUUUAUCUCCGCUACGACCUCGGAAAGAACAUCGGCCCCUUCGGCCAGGCAAUCGGCCUGUCCUACGGUGACGAAAGCGGUUCCUGGAUCGGCUAUGGCUGGACCUGGGAAACCUACUUCGGAAAGAGCCCGUUCUACACGCAGCUGCACGCGAUGCCCGGCCUCUACGCCGCGGGUGACGACUUCGACCUGGGUGGACCCAUCGAGUUCCGCUCCGGAAUCGAGCUCGGAUACGAGGCGAGGAACGGGUGGCGGUAUGGCCUGUCCUACGAUCACCGGUCCAAUGCCGGGAUCUACGACAACAACCCUGGAAUUGAAACCGUGCAAUUCAGAGUGAGCGUUCCACUGAACUGAUCCCAGAUGUUAUUAGUGUCCAGUCUUGUGACGGCGUACCUUUUGUAUAAUGGGUCAUCGACUUGGUCUAUCUAGCAAGCUUAAGCCGUUAGGUGUAGGCGCAGCGAAAGCGAGUCUUAAUAGGGCGUUGAGUUAGAUGGAUCAGACCCGAAACCGAGUGAUCUAGGCAUGACCAGGAUGAAGGUAAGGUAACACUUGCUGGAGGUCCGAACCCACACCUGUUGAAAAAGGUCGGGAUGAGUUGUGCCUAGGGGUGAAAGGCCAAUCAAACUCGGAGAUAGCUGGUUCUCCGCGAAAUCUAUUUAGGUAGAGCGUCAUCCGAAUACCCCGGGGGGUAGAGCACUGGAUGGGUAAUGGGGCCCCACAGGCUUACUGAUCCUAACCAAACUCCGAAUACCCGGGAGUACUAGAUGGCAGACACACGGCGGAUGCUAACGUCCGUCGUGGAGAGGGAAACAACCCUGACCUACAGCUAAGGCCCCCAAUUCGUGGCUAAGUGGGAAAGCAGGUGGGACGACCAAAACAACCAGGAGGUUGGCUUAGAAGCAGCCAUCCUUUAAAGAUAGCGUAACAGCUCACUGGUCUAAUCAAGUUGUCCUGCGGCGAAGAUGUAACGGGGCUCAAGCCACGAGCCGAAGCUUAGGAUGCCGUAAGGCAUGGUAGCGGAGCGUAGUG